Molecule: long non-coding RNA, 544 nt
Organism: Biomphalaria glabrata
Lineage: Eukaryota; Metazoa; Mollusca; Gastropoda; Planorbidae
Exons: 3
Source: RefSeq, a predicted model, not a curated record
UGCUUCUCUUAUGCGUUUAUUAUCAUGUCAACAGGGGUAGUUGCAGUAUCUAGUUUUAAAGUAAGCUCUUGUACCUGGUCUGCAUUUUCUCCAUUGAGAGCUAGGUCAUAGAUUGGGAAUAGGCUGUUUUUUCAAGCUAGGAGUAAAUCUUUCUAGAGAUUCUAUCAUAAUAUGCUCCAGAAAUAUUUUGGGUGUUUUUUAACUUUCUCCACUUUGAUUACUCAGAAUAGCAUUCCAAAUAAUGUGUAAGAUAUUAGGAUCAGCUGUUUGUUUGCAUGUACAACUACGUAAUGAUUUCGCUAAACAUUCUUGAGUUGCUGUUUUACCAUUCUCGAGACAUCCUCUGCGGGAUUACACCUGUUGUCGUCUUCGGCAUCAAGUUUACUUCUUUAUUUAGACUUCAUGACUAAUUAGCUGGAAAAACAUGCUUCGGAAAAAAAAUACUUAAAAAGAAGCAAAAAAUUGCGAUAUAGACAAAUCGAUAUAUGACUGCAAACGCGUGAUCCAGAUUUGUAUAACUGACAUUAAAAGAUCAUUUUCGCUA